Molecule: ribosomal RNA, 253 nt
Filed under: uncultured bacterium
Lineage: Bacteria
Description: partial 16S ribosomal RNA
Rfam family: Bacterial small subunit ribosomal RNA
Source: RNAcentral
UACGUAGGGUGCAAGCGUUGUCCGGAAUUAUUGGGCGUAAAGAGCUCGUAGGCGGUCUGUCGCGUCUGCUGUGAAAACUCGGGGCUUAACCCCGGGCCUGCAGUGGGUACGGGCAGACUAGAGUGCGGUAGGGGAGACUGGAAUUCCUGGUGUAGCGGUGAAAUGCGCAGAUAUCAGGAAGAACACCAAUGGCGAAAGCAGCUCUCUGGGACGGUACUGACGCUGAGACGCGAAAGCGUGGGGAGCGAACAGG